Molecule: ribosomal RNA, 287 nt
Filed under: Bacillus thuringiensis serovar canadensis
Lineage: Bacteria; Bacillati; Bacillota; Bacilli; Caryophanales; Bacillaceae
Description: partial 16S ribosomal RNA
Rfam family: Bacterial small subunit ribosomal RNA
Source: RNAcentral
UUUAUUGGAGAGUUUGAUCCUGGCUCAGGAUGAACGCUGGCGGCGUGCCUAAUACAUGCAAGUCGAGCGAAUGGAUUAAGAGUUUGCUCUUAUGAAGUUAGCGGCGGACGGGUGAGUAACACGUGGGUAACCUGCCCAUAAGACUGGGAUAACUCCGGGAAACCGGGGCUAAUACCGGAUAACAUUUUGAACCGCAUGGUUCGAAAUUGAAAGGCGGCUUCGGCUGUCACUUAUGGAUGGACCCGCGUCGCAUUAGCUAGUUGGUGAGGUAACGGCUCACCAAGGCA